AGCUGAAGCUCAUACUAAUUUACUUACAUUCACAACGAUUACAUGUCCGAUGCAGUAACGAUUGAUGUUGGAUACAGUUCGACUCUGGAGCAAUGGCGGUAGAUGAUGAUCCAUUCCCCGAGACCAGCCCUGGUAGAGGACCUACAGGGCAAUGCUCGUACGAUCAAGACCAGGGUUCUGACGGCUAUGAAUCCACAGAUGUACGAACUAAAAUCGAAAUAAAUACUGAGGAUUUUCACACUAUUUCAUAGUACUGUUUGUUAGCUUCCUAUUCAUACACAUGCUACUCCUGAAAUUUGUAGGAAGAAGAGUGUGAUUAAUCUUCACAUGGCGGACGUUCAGCGGGAGAUGGGCGAGGGCACGCCCUUCAC
RNAcentral lists this long non-coding RNA (371 nucleotides) under Triticum aestivum (bread wheat). RNAcentral's name for it is "long non-coding RNA (TAES_LNC028133)". Lineage: Eukaryota; Viridiplantae; Streptophyta; Magnoliopsida; Poales; Poaceae. The record is from RNAcentral.